GUGGGGAAUAUUGGACAAUGGGCGAAAGCCUGAUCCAGCCAUGCCGCGUGUGUGAAGAAGGUCUUCGGAUUGUAAAGCACUUUAAGUUGGGAGGAAGGGCAGUAAGUUAAUACCUUGCUGUUUUGACGUUACCGACAGAAUAAGCACCGGCUAACUUCGUGCCAGCAGCCGCGGUAAUACGAAGGGUGCAAGCGUUAAUCGGAAUUACUGGGCGUAAAGCGCGCGUAGGUGGUUUUGUAAGUUGGAGGUGAAAUCCCCGGGCUCAACCUGGGAACUGCCUCCAAAACUGCAUGACUAGAGUACGGUAGAGGGUAGUGGAAUUUCCUGUGUAGCGGUGAAAUGCGUAGAUAUAGGAAGGAACACCAGUGGCGAAGGCGACUACCUGGACUGAUACUGACACUGAGGUGCGAAAGCGUGGGGAGCAAACAGGAUUAGAAAACCCGGGUAGUCC
RNAcentral lists this ribosomal RNA (451 nucleotides) under uncultured bacterium. RNAcentral's name for it is "partial 16S ribosomal RNA". It matches the Rfam family "Bacterial small subunit ribosomal RNA", at positions 354 to 796 of the family's 1533-position model. The record is from RNAcentral.